This is a long non-coding RNA of Capsicum annuum, 431 nucleotides long. RefSeq lists it as uncharacterized. The record is from RefSeq and is a predicted model, not a curated record. Lineage: Eukaryota; Viridiplantae; Streptophyta; Magnoliopsida; Solanales; Solanaceae. The transcript is spliced from 3 exons.
AGAAAGAAACUUCUAGGCAUUACUUUCCUCUUCUUCAUUGAGCAAAGCCGCCAUAACCAAGGAUCAAAGAAUCAUACAGAUCGGAAACAUGCAUAGGUUUGUUGAGUUGUUAGAGGUAAAUAUGAGUUCCAUUUAGUUGACUUGACCUUAUAACCUCAAAUAUUUGGAGUUAUCCAUUAUCAACUACAUCCACAAGUGUUAUGGCUGAAUAUAUCCCAAAUUGGAAUGGCUCCAACAUUGAGUCAAUCGGAAUCUCUAAAUCAACAACUUAGGUUAUGUUCUAUGGCAAGGUGUUGAUUGUGACAUUAGAUUUCAUUCGGGCUUCUUUAGGAGAAAUUGCCUUGAGUAGCAUUGCCUCCUACUCCUCUUUUGUUUAGAAGCACGAGCUCCAGAGCAUCAGUAGCAUUCUAGUUUUGGCAGUCAGAGUUAGC